GUGGACGAACCUCUGGUGUUCCGGUUGUCACGCCAGUGGCAUUGCCGGGUAGCUAUGUUCGGAAAAGAUAACCGCUGAAAGCAUCUAAGCGGGAAACUUGCCUCAAGAUGAGAUCUCACUGGGAACUUGAUUCCCCUGAAGGGCCGUCGAAGACUACGACGUUGAUAGGCUGGGUGUGUAAGCGUUGUGAGGCGUUGAGCUAACCAGUACUAAUUGCCCGUGAGGCUUGACCAUAUAACACCCAAACA
Molecule: ribosomal RNA, 248 nt
Filed under: Pseudomonas aeruginosa
Lineage: Bacteria; Pseudomonadati; Pseudomonadota; Gammaproteobacteria; Pseudomonadales; Pseudomonadaceae
Description: partial 23S ribosomal RNA
Rfam family: Bacterial large subunit ribosomal RNA
Source: RNAcentral